CAAAAUAAAGUUUAACUCAUCAUAGAAUCAAAAUCUAUAAUCCACAAUUGACUAUACAUUGAGAAAUAAAGAUAGAAGUAAAGAGAAGUUAGGGAAUUUAGGAAUGCAAAUUUGAGAUUCUCCUCUUGCUCCGAUUCUGAAUUUCCUAUGCUCUUCAAUUGCUUCAAUCUUCAACUCUAAUAUAAUCUAGGGUUCUAAUCUCAUCUAAAAAGAAAAAGAAGAAAAGAAAACAAUAGUAGCUUUAGCCCCCAAGGGGUGGAAUAUCUCUUACAUCAUGAAAAUACGUCUAAUUUAUAAGCCCUCAUUGAAUCCCCCUCUCCGUUAUGCUUCAAUUGCACUGUUUAAUGAAAAGUCAGCUUUGG
This 362-nucleotide long non-coding RNA is filed under the name Panax ginseng (ginseng). RNAcentral's name for it is "long non-coding RNA (PGIN_LNC008603)". The record is from RNAcentral. Lineage: Eukaryota; Viridiplantae; Streptophyta; Magnoliopsida; Apiales; Araliaceae.